RNAcentral lists this RNase P RNA (358 nucleotides) under Pseudoxanthomonas suwonensis. Its description in RNAcentral is "RNase P RNA component class A". It matches the Rfam family "Bacterial RNase P class A". Rfam says of the family: Ribonuclease P (RNase P) is a ubiquitous endoribonuclease, found in archaea, bacteria and eukarya as well as chloroplasts and mitochondria. Its best characterised activity is the generation of mature 5'-ends of tRNAs by cleaving the 5'-leader elements of precursor-tRNAs. The record is from RNAcentral. Lineage: Bacteria; Pseudomonadati; Pseudomonadota; Gammaproteobacteria; Lysobacterales; Lysobacteraceae.
GGAGCCGGCCAGACAGUCGCGUCAUCGUCCUGCAAGGGGCGGUGCCGAGGAAAGUCCGGGCUCCACAGGGCACGGUGCCAGGUAACGCCUGGGCGGCGCGAGCCGACGGAAAGUGCAACAGAGAGCAGACCGCCGAUGGCCUGCAAAGGCACAGGCAAGGGUGAAACGGUGCGGUAAGAGCGCACCGCGAGUCCGGCAACGGACCGGCACGGCAAACCCCACCGGGAGCAAGGCCAAAUAGGGACCUCAUGAUGCGGCCCGCAUCGGGUCCGGGUAGGCCGCUCGAGCCUGCCAGUGAUGGCAGGCCCAGAAGAAUGACUGUCCACGACAGAACCCGGCUUAUCGGCCGGCUCCGCCA